GCAACCGCUCGACUGUUCUAAUCCCAGAAACUGGGAAUCAUUAUAUUGUUGUGUUAUACACUUUCAUGUACCGGCAAUUGAUGAUUCGAUUGCAUAGUAGGUUUUACUAGGGUAUGUUACCAAUCUGUACAGAAAUUAAAUUUGCAACAUGCCCCCUGUUGUCAGUUUUCUUCACCCAGAAUCUCCCUCCUCCACACACCACAAACCCACCCCCCCUCCC
Molecule: unclassified non-coding RNA, 220 nt
Filed under: Hevea brasiliensis (rubber tree)
Lineage: Eukaryota; Viridiplantae; Streptophyta; Magnoliopsida; Malpighiales; Euphorbiaceae
Source: RNAcentral